UGUUUAUUUUACCUUGUUGCUUCGGCGGGCCCGCCUUAACUGGCCGCCGGGGGGCUUACGCCCCCGGGCCCGCGCCCGCCGAAGACACCCUCGAACUCUGUCUGAAGAUUGUAGUCUGAGUGAAAAUAUAAAUUAUUUAAAACUUUCAACAACGGAUCUCUUGGUUCCGGCAUCGAUGAAGAACGCAGCGAAAUGCGAUACGUAAUGUGAAUUGCAAAUUCAGUGAAUCAUCGAGUCUUUGAACGCACAUUGCGCCCCCUGGUAUUCCGGGGGGCAUGCCUGUCCGAGCGUCAUUGCUGCCCUCAAGCACGGCUUGUGUGUUGGGCCCCGUCCUCCGAUCCCGGGGGACGGGCCCGAAAGGCAGCGGCGGCACCGCGUCCGGUCCUCGAGCGUAUGGGGCUUUGUCACCCGCUCUGUAGGCCCGGCCGGCGCUUGCCGAUCAACCCAAAUUUUUAUCCAGGUUGACCUCGGAUCAGGUAGGGAUACCCGCUGAACUUAAGCAUAUCA
Molecule: ribosomal RNA, 507 nt
Filed under: Penicillium chrysogenum
Lineage: Eukaryota; Fungi; Ascomycota; Eurotiomycetes; Eurotiales; Aspergillaceae
Description: eukaryotic LSU rRNA
Rfam family: 5.8S ribosomal RNA (bases 141-293)
Source: RNAcentral